AACGAACGCUGGCGGCAGGCCUAACACAUGCAAGUCGAACGCUCGUAGCAAUACGAGAGUGGCAGACGGGUGAGUAACACGUGGGAACCUUCCCUAUGGUUCGGAAUAGCUCAGGGAAACUUGAGGUAAUGCCGGAUAAGCCCUUACGGGGAAAGAUUUAUCGCCAUUGGAUGGGCCCGCGUCGGAUUAGCUAGUUGGUGAGGUAACGGCUCACCAAGGCGACGAUCCGUAGCNGGUCUGAGAGGAUGAUCAGCCACACUGGGACUGAGACACGGCCCAGACUCCUACGGGAGGCAGCAGUGGGGAAUAUUGGACAAUGGGCGCAAGCCUGAUCCAGCCAUGCCGCGUGAGUGACGAAGGCCUUAGGGUUGUAAAGCUCUUUUGCCCGGGAAGAUAAUGACGGUACCGGGAGAAUAAGCCCCGGCU
This 426-nucleotide ribosomal RNA is filed under the name uncultured bacterium. RNAcentral's name for it is "bacterial SSU rRNA". It matches the Rfam family "Bacterial small subunit ribosomal RNA", at positions 29 to 498 of the family's 1533-position model. The record is from RNAcentral.